GAUCAACGCUGGCGGCGUGCCUCAGACAUGCAAGUCGAACGAUUAAGACUCUCUUCGGAGAGUGUAUAAAGUGGCGCACGGGUGAGUAACACGUAGGUAAUGUACCGAAGGGUGGGGAAUAACUUAGGGAAACUUAAGCUAAUACCGCAUAAUGCAGCGGCUCGACAUCGAGACAGUUGUUAAAGGAGCAAUCCGCCUUUUGAGCAGCCUGCGGCAGAUUAGCUAGUUGGUAAGGUAAUGGCUUACCAAGGCUACGAUCUGUAACCGACCUGAGAGGGUGGUCGGUCACACUGACACUGAAUAACGGGUCAGACUCCUACGGAGGCAGCAGUGGGGAAUAUUGCGCAAUGGGCGAAAGCCUGACGCAGCGACGCCGCGUGGGUGAUGAAGGCC
RNAcentral lists this ribosomal RNA (393 nucleotides) under uncultured bacterium. Its description in RNAcentral is "bacterial SSU rRNA". It matches the Rfam family "Bacterial small subunit ribosomal RNA", at positions 28 to 416 of the family's 1533-position model. The record is from RNAcentral.